AUUCGGAAUAUGCGAUGCUGCCCUAAAAUUAAAAAGAAAUUGAAAGACGAAAUGUAUAUGAAUGAAAGUGAGAAAACUAAGAGUGUCUCUUCAUUUGAGGAAAAUUUCACAGGAUCUUCUUUCAAUUUACAAUUGAUUGGAACGAAUCGUGCAGAUGAAAGUAAAAGAAGAGGGUCACCUAAGACAGGAAUUUUAAUAUAAUCGAUCACGUAUUUUGGAAAAAAAAGUAUCGUCAAUUAAAGAAUAUACAACAGUCUGUCCCUUAAGAAGGAAAUCAAGGAUGUCAUCAAUUGUGGUGUAAAAUUGGAAACAAGAAGCAGCAGGACCUCAAACUGUCAAUUGUCAUGUCGAAAUUUAAAUUAAAAGUGGGGUGUAAAAUUGGAAACAAGAAGUAGGAGAACCUCAAACUGUUAAUUGUCGAAAUUUAAUAAGAAGCGGGGUAUUGUGAAUCUGCGUCUUGGAGUGAAAGUUCUGGUGGCAUUGUGAAUGAAUUACACCUCCGGAAUGGUUGAUUGAAGUUACAAAUUGAUGAAUGCUGUUUCAAAGAACCCUUUUGUAUUUGCUCCU
Molecule: long non-coding RNA, 567 nt
Organism: Leptopilina heterotoma
Lineage: Eukaryota; Metazoa; Arthropoda; Insecta; Hymenoptera; Figitidae
Exons: 5
Source: RefSeq, a predicted model, not a curated record